AGUCUAUCUGACUGUGACAUUUAUCACUCCAUUGAUCAUCAGGAUUGAGCUGGGCUGGCUGGCUGGGUGGGUACCCCCUGUGGGUGUUCCUGAAGCUGUAUGCUUGGUCAAAGAGGAUGACCUCUCCUGAUAGAAGACNGUUCUGGGUUUGU
This 152-nucleotide small nuclear RNA is filed under the name Neotoma lepida (desert woodrat). Its description in RNAcentral is "7SK RNA". It matches the Rfam family "7SK RNA", at positions 1 to 187 of the family's 331-position model. From Rfam's summary of the family: 7SK was discovered as an abundant small nuclear RNA in the mid-70s but a possible function has only recently been suggested. The record is from Rfam by way of RNAcentral. Lineage: Eukaryota; Metazoa; Chordata; Mammalia; Rodentia; Cricetidae.